AUAGGUACAUAAAAUGUAUUAUAAUCUUAUAACUAAGUUAUUAUAAUACAUUGUUGAUUUUGUGAUAGAAAUUUAGAGCUAAAAGAAACAUAAAUUAAAGUGCGAGGAAAUUAUUAAAGUAAAAAGUUUGCAGUUACACGCAUGUACAAAAACCAUUAAUGCACUCCGGAAGCACAGAAAUUUCACACAUAUAUUUUGGACAAUCAUCUUGAUGUAUGCACCUAUGAAUAUAUGCGUUGGUACUUACCACUGCAAAGUCAAAUAAUAAUAAUAGCAUAAUGAUAUUAAAAGAAUAUGUAACGUUGUGUCUAACAUAAGGAAGAAAAUGAUAAAAUUAUUUCAAGAAUUACUUACUGCCAUUGGUUACCAUGACAAAAAGAGAAAGAAACAUUAUCAAAGUAUAAACAAAUUUU
This 413-nucleotide long non-coding RNA is filed under the name Medicago truncatula (barrel medic). RNAcentral's name for it is "lncRNA gene31279". The record is from RNAcentral. Lineage: Eukaryota; Viridiplantae; Streptophyta; Magnoliopsida; Fabales; Fabaceae.